This 1124-nucleotide ribosomal RNA is filed under the name Planctomycetaceae bacterium. Its description in RNAcentral is "partial 23S ribosomal RNA". It matches the Rfam family "Bacterial large subunit ribosomal RNA", at positions 1 to 1173 of the family's 2925-position model. Lineage: Bacteria; Pseudomonadati; Planctomycetota; Planctomycetia; Planctomycetales; Planctomycetaceae. The record is from RNAcentral.
GUUAUAUGAUCAAGCGAAUAAGCGCAUACGGUGGAUGCCUUGGCAGUCAGAGGCGAUGAAAGACGUGGCAGCCUGCGAAAAGUUCCGGGGAGUUGGCAACAAGCAUUGAUCCGGAAAUGUCUGAAUGGGGAGACCCACCGCUUAGGCGGUAUCGUGCAGUGAAUACAUAGCUGUACGAGGCAAACCCGGGGAACUGAAAUAUCUCAGUACCCGGAGGAAAAGAAAUCAACCGAGAUUCCCCUAGUAGUGACGAGCGAACGGGGAGUAGCCCAAAAGUCGGUAUUGAGGUAGCAAAAUGGCCUGGGAAGGCCAACCAUAGCGGGUGAUAGUCCCGUAUGCGAAACCUCUUUAUUGAUGAUAAGUGAGUAGGGCGGGGCACGAGAAACCCUGUCUGAACAUGGGAGGACCAUCUUCCAAGGCUAAAUACUCCUGACUGACCGAUAGUGAACCAGUACCGUGAGGGAAAGGCGAAAAGAACCGCGGAGAGCGGAGUGAAAUAGAACCUGAAACCGUAUGCGUACAAGCAGUGGGAGCCCCUUCGUGGGGUGACUGCGUACCUUUUGUAUAAUGGGUCAGCGACUUAUUGUCUGUGGCAAGCUUAACCGUAUAGGGGAGGCGAAGGGAAACCGAGUCUGAAUAGGGCGUAUAGUCGCAGGCAAUAGACCCGAAACCGGGUGAUCUAGCCAUGCCCAGGGUGAAGGUGCCGUAACAGGUACUGGAGGCCCGAACCCACUCCUGUUGCAAAAGUAGGGGAUGAGGUGUGGCUAGGAGUGAAAAGCUAAUCGAACCCGGAGAUAGCUGGUUCUCCUCGAAAGCUAUUUAGGUAGCGCCUCGCACGAAUCUUCUUGGGGGUAGAGCACUGUUAUGGCUAGGGGGUCAUUGAGACUUACCAAACCAUUGCAAACUCCGAAUACCAAGACAGACUAUGCGGGAGACACACGGCGGGUGCUAACGUCCGUCGUGAAAAGGGAAACAACCCAGACCUACAGCUAAGGUCCCCAAGUCAUGGCUAAGUGGAAAACGAUGUGGAAAGGCAUAGACAGCCAGGAGGUUGGCUUAGAAGCAGCCAUCCUUUAAAGAAAGCGUAAUAGCUCACUGGUCGAGUCGGUCUGCGCGGAAGAUUU